Molecule: ribosomal RNA, 496 nt
Filed under: uncultured bacterium
Lineage: Bacteria
Description: partial 16S ribosomal RNA
Rfam family: Bacterial small subunit ribosomal RNA
Source: RNAcentral
GAUGAACGCUGGCGGCGUGCCUAAUACAUGCAAGUCGAGCGAACGGACGAGAAGCUUGCUUCUCUGAUGUUAGCGGCGGACGGGUGAGUAACACGUGGAUAACCUACCUAUAAGACUGGGAUAACUUCGGGAAACCGGAGCUAAUACCGGAUAAUAUUUUGAACCGCAUGGUUCAAAAGUGAAAGACGGUCUCGCUGUCACUUAUAGAUGGAUCCGCGCUGCAUUAGCUAGUUGGUAAGGUAACGGCUUACCAAGGCAACGAUGCAUAGCCGACCUGAGAGGGGGAUCGGCCACACUGGAACUGAGAAACGGUCCAGACUCCUACGGGAGGCAGCAGUAGGAAAUCUUCCGCAAUGGGCGAAAGCCUGACGGAGCAACGCAGCGUGAGUGAUGAAGGUCUUCGGAUCGAAAACUCUGUUAUUAGGGAAGAACAUAUGUGUAAGUAACUGUGCACAUCUUGACGGUACCUAAUCAGAAAGCCACGGCUAACUACGUG